RNAcentral lists this transfer RNA (64 nucleotides) under Solen grandis (grand razor shell). RNAcentral's name for it is "tRNA-Val". Lineage: Eukaryota; Metazoa; Mollusca; Bivalvia; Adapedonta; Solenidae. The record is from RNAcentral.
UGGAAAAUAGUAUAAAAAGAAUAUCUCAUUUACACUGAGAAGGUAAUCAGAAGAUUUUUUCCUU